Molecule: ribosomal RNA, 438 nt
Filed under: Capnocytophaga gingivalis
Lineage: Bacteria; Pseudomonadati; Bacteroidota; Flavobacteriia; Flavobacteriales; Flavobacteriaceae
Description: bacterial SSU rRNA
Rfam family: Bacterial small subunit ribosomal RNA
Source: RNAcentral
GAUGAACGCUAGCGGCAGGCCUAACACAUGCAAGUCGAGGGAGAAGCCCUUUCGGGGGCAGAAACCGGCGCACGGGUGCGUAACGCGUAUGCAACCUACCUUUCACAGGGGGAUAGCCCGAAGAAAUUUGGAUUAAUACCCCAUAAUAUUAUUGGAUGGCAUCAUUUGAUAAUUAAAACUGCGGUGGUGAAAGAUGGGCAUGCGUCCUAUUAGCUAGUUGGAGUGGUAACGGCACCCCAAGGCUACGAUAGGUAGGGGUCCUGAGAGGGAGAUCCCCCACACUGGUACUGAGACAGGGACCAGACUCCUACGGGAGGCAGCAGUGAGGAAUAUUGGUCAAUGGUCGGAAGACUGAACCAGCCAUGCCGCGUGCAGGAAGAAUGCCUUAUGGGUUGUAAACUGCUUUUAUAUGGAAGAAUAAGGCGUACGUUACGUGAG